This 26-nucleotide non-coding RNA is filed under the name Homo sapiens (human). Lineage: Eukaryota; Metazoa; Chordata; Mammalia; Primates; Hominidae. The record is from RNAcentral.
UCCACCAUGCGCUUGCCGUCCUCCUC